Molecule: long non-coding RNA, 841 nt
Filed under: Brassica napus (rape)
Lineage: Eukaryota; Viridiplantae; Streptophyta; Magnoliopsida; Brassicales; Brassicaceae
Description: long non-coding RNA (BNAP_LNC022966)
Source: RNAcentral
ACUGCAAAAUCUUUAUGCGUUUGAUACCCGAUAAACAACAUAUAUCUGUUUUAAAAAAUAAAACACAUAAACAUAUAUGGCCCUGUUCGUUUGCUCACCCACAUGAUCCAUCUGGGUGAAGAUGCAAAUCGAUAUUCGUUUUGUGCAUUAUAAUGCUACAUCCAGAUGGAUCACCUAGCUGAAUUUUUAAAAACUCAUCUCAAAUUCUCACACAAAUGAAGGUGAAUCUUGAUGCUGCAUCUGGAUGCAGAUGCAUCUAGUUCAGUCCAAAAUGAUAAAUGACAAAAAAAUGACCUUUUCAAAUCAAAAUAUUAUUUUCAAACCCUAAAUUCUAUUUUUUUGCAUAUAUAUUUUUCUGCUAUAACAAAAAAAUGUAUUUUCUCGCAAAAACCGAAAAAUACACUUUCCCGCCAAAACCGCAAGAUGCGUUUUUCCGCAAAAAAACGUAAAACACACAUUUUCAUAAAAACACAUUUUUCGGCCAAACCAGUAAAACCGCACUUUUCGACCAAAAACCGAAAAAUCGCAUUUUCCCGUUAAAAAAAAAAGAAGCAUUUUCCCGCCAAAACCCAAAAAAUGCAUUUUCCCGCCAAACUCCAAAAAGCAUUUUCCGACCAAAACCGGAAAAAUGCAUUUUCUCGCCAAAACCGGAAACACACAAUUUUCCUGCCAAAACCGGAAAACAGAAUUUUCCCGCCAAAACCGAAAAAAACUCAUUUAUGACCUUUUCAAAUCAAAAUAUUAUUUUCAAACCCUAAAUUCUAUUUUUUUGCAUAUAUAUUUUUCUGCUAUAACAAAAAAAUGUAUUUUCUCGCAAAAACCGAAAAAUACACUUUCCCGC